RNAcentral lists this ribosomal RNA (497 nucleotides) under uncultured bacterium. Its description in RNAcentral is "partial 16S ribosomal RNA". It matches the Rfam family "Bacterial small subunit ribosomal RNA", at positions 28 to 507 of the family's 1533-position model. The record is from RNAcentral.
GAUGAACGCUGGCGGCGUGCCUAAUACAUGCAAGUCGAGCGAACAGACGAUGCUCUUGCUCCUCUGACGUUAGCCGCGGGCGUGUGAGUAACACGUGUAUCACCUACCUAUCUUACUGGGAUAACUUCGGGAAACCGGCGCUAAUACCGGAUAAUAUAUUGCACCGCAUGGUUCAAUAGUGAAAUACGGUUUUUCCGUCACUUAUCGAUGGAUCCGCGCCGCAUUAGAUAGUUGGUAAGGUAACGGCGUACCACGGCAACGAUGCGUAGCCGAACUGAGAGGGGGAUAGGCCACACGGGAACGGAGACAGGGACAAGACGACUAAGGGAGGCAGCAGUAGGGAAUCUGACGCAAUGGGCGAAAGCAUGACGGAGUAAGGCGGAGUGAGAGAUGAAGACAUCGGGAUCGGAAAAAUCUGUUAUGAGGGAAGAACAAAUGUGGAAGGAAAUAUGGACGGAGUGACGGUACCGAAUCAGAAAGCAACGGCUAACUACGUG